GUAGGCAAGUGAACCUCUAAAACCCUCUCUAAUCGCUCAGAAUGCUAACAAAACGUUUAGGUGAACCUGCGGAAGGAUCAUUACUGAGUUCUGGGUCAUUUUUUGGCCCGACCUCCAACCCUUUGUCUACAUUACCUCUUGUUGCUUCGGUGGGCCCGUCCCCUCUAGAAAUAGAGGACGACCGCCGGAGGGUUUACGCCCUCUGGUCCGCGCCCACCGAUGGCCCCAACCUAAAACUCUUGCUUAAACA
This 250-nucleotide unclassified non-coding RNA is filed under the name plant metagenome. Its description in RNAcentral is "partial contains small subunit ribosomal RNA, internal transcribed spacer 1, and 5.8S ribosomal RNA". The record is from RNAcentral.